CCUACGGGGGGCAGCAGUGGGGAAUAUUGGGCAAUGGAGGCAACUCUGACCCAGCAACGCCGCGUGAAUGAUGAAGGUCUUCGGAUUGGAAAGUUCUUUUCUAAGGGAAGUAGAAAGUGACGGUACCUUAGGAAUAAGCCUCGGCUAACUACGUGCCAGCAGCCGCGGUAAUACGUAGGAGGCAAGCGUUAUCCGGAAUGACUGGGCGUAAAGGGUGCGUAGGUGGUUUGACAAGUUAGUAGCGAAACUCCGGGGCUCAACUUCGGAACUACUACUAAAACUGUUGGACUUGAGUGCAGGAGGGGCAAUCGGAAUUCCUAGUGUAGCGGUGGAAUGCGUAGAUAUUAGGAGGAACACCAGUGGCGAAGGCGGAUUGCUAGACUGUAACUGACACUGAGGCACGAAAGCGUGGGGAGCAAACAGGAUUAGAUACCCGUGUAGUC
Molecule: ribosomal RNA, 443 nt
Filed under: uncultured bacterium
Lineage: Bacteria
Description: partial 16S ribosomal RNA
Rfam family: Bacterial small subunit ribosomal RNA
Source: RNAcentral